CGGAAAGACCCCGUGAACCUUUACUAUAGCUUCACAGUGAACUUUGAGCCUACUUGUGUAGGAUAGGUGGGAGGCUUUGAAACCAGCACGCCAGUGUUGGUGGAGCCAUCCUUGAAAUACCACCCUGGUAUGUUUGAGGUUCUAACGCAGUCCUGUUAUCCAGGACGCGGACACUGUGUGGUGGGUAGUUUGACUGGGGCGGUCUCCUCCCAAAGAGUAACGGAGGAGCACGAAGGUGCGCUAAGCAUGGUCGGACAUCAUGCGGUUAGUGUAAUGGCAUAAGCGCGCUUAACUGCGAGACAGACACGUCGAGCAGGUACGAAAGUAGGUCAUAGUGAUCCGGUGGUUCUGUAUGGAAGGGCCAUCGCUCAACGGAUAAAAGGUACUCCGGGGAUAACAGGCUGAUCUCCCCCAAGAGCUCAUAUCGAC
RNAcentral lists this ribosomal RNA (429 nucleotides) under Isochrysis galbana. RNAcentral's name for it is "partial Bacterial large subunit ribosomal RNA". It matches the Rfam family "Bacterial large subunit ribosomal RNA", at positions 2081 to 2509 of the family's 2925-position model. The record is from RNAcentral. Lineage: Eukaryota; Haptophyta; Isochrysidales; Isochrysidaceae.